This 163-nucleotide unclassified non-coding RNA is filed under the name uncultured Penicillium. RNAcentral describes it as "sequence contains ITS2". Lineage: Eukaryota; Fungi; Ascomycota; Eurotiomycetes; Eurotiales; Aspergillaceae. The record is from RNAcentral.
CUGCCCUCAAGCCCGGCUUGUGUGUUGGGCCCCGUCCCCCGAUCCCGGGGGACAGGCCCGAAAGGCAGCGGCGGCACCGCGUCCGGUCCUCGAGCGUAUGGGGCUUUGUCACCCGCUCUGUAGGCCCGGCCGGCGCCUGCCACCAACCCAAAUUUUUUAUCCA